GGAUGUGAGGGUGAUCUGGCUGUGACAUCUGUAACCCCAUUGAUUGCCAGUGUUGAUUUGGCUGAUCUGGCUGACUAGGCAGGUGACUCCUUCCUCUCUCACCAUGCCAUGUACAUCCUUCCCAAAGGUGGUGGUCACUCGGUUGAAGAUGACCUUCCCUGAAUAGAGGAGGACCAGUCUUCUGUCAAGGGUAUAGAAGUAGCUGUGAUCCUCUGUUAAAUCCUCUAAACAAGCCGGGUGGUGGUGGCGCACGCCUUUAAUCCCAGCACUCGGGAAGCAGAGGCAGGCGGAUCUCUGUGAGUUCGAGACCAGCCU
Unclassified non-coding RNA from Cricetulus griseus (Chinese hamster), 315 nucleotides. Its record names the gene 7SK. It matches the Rfam family "7SK RNA". Rfam says of the family: 7SK was discovered as an abundant small nuclear RNA in the mid-70s but a possible function has only recently been suggested. Two independent studies have found that 7SK RNA binds the CDK9/cyclin T complex (known as elongation factor P-TEFb). The record is from Ensembl. NCBI's taxonomy places the organism in Eukaryota, Metazoa, Chordata, Mammalia, Rodentia, Cricetidae.